UAUAUGUAUAUAUGUAUGUAUGUGUAUAUAUAUGUAUAUAUAUAUAUAUGUGUAUAUAUAUAUAUAUAUACACAUAUAUAUAUACACAUACCUAUAAUAUGGGCUUUUUAAACAUAAGAUCAUUGUCUCCCAAGGCGUUAUUGGUUAAUGAGGUCAUUAGAGACAACAAUCUUAACGUCAUUGGUCUUAGCGAAACCUGGCUCAAGCCAGACGAAUUUUUUGCGCUCAAUGAGGCAUCUCCUCCUAACUAUACGAAUGCGCAUGUUUCCCGUCCUCUUAAAAGGGGAGGGGGUGUCGCACUAAUAUACAAUGAAAAUUUCAACCUCACCCCUAACCUAAAUAAUAAAUAUAAAUCGUUUGAGGUGCUUACUAUGAGGUCUGUCACACCGCUACCUCUCGACCUGGCUGUUAUCUACCGCCCCCCUGGGCCCUAUUCGGACUUUAUCAGUGAAUUCUCAGAGUUCGUUGCUGAUCUAGUGACGCACGCCGACAAUAUAAUCAUAAUGGGGGACUUUAAUAUCCAUAUGAAUACCCCAUCGGACCCUCAGUGCGUGGCGCUCCAAACCAUAAUUGAUAGCUGUGGUCUUACACAAAUAAUACAUGAACCCACGCAUCGCAACGGUAAUACAAUAGAUCUAGUGCUUGUCAGGGGUGUCACCACCUCCAAAGUUAUGAUACUUCCAUAUACUAAAGUAAUGUCCGAUCAUUACCUUAUAAAAUUUGAAGUUUUGACUCAUUGUCAACAAGCUAAUAAUAAUAAUAACUGCUAUAGCGGCCGCAACAUUAAUGCUGCCACAACGAUGACUCUUGCUGACCUACUGCCUUCGGUAAUGGCACCAUUCCCAAAUUAUGUCGGCUCUAUUGAUAACCUCACUAACAACUUUGACGAUGCCUUGCGCGAAAUUAUUGAUAGUAUAGCACCGCUAAAGCAAAAAAGGGCCCCUAAAAGGCGCACCCCAUGGUUUACAGAAGAAAUUAGAGCUCAUAAAUGAUCAUGUAGAAAACUGGAACGCAAAUGGCGCGCGACUAAACUUGAGGUUUUCCAUCAAGCAUGGAGUGAUAGUUUAAUGACUUAUAAACGCAUGCUUACCUUAGCUAAAGCUAAAUACUACUCAAAUCUCAUCCGCCUCAACAAAAACGAUCCUAAAUUUCUGUUUAGUACAGUAGCAUCGCUAACCCAACAAGGGACUCCUCCCAGUAGCUCCACCCACUCGGCAGAUGAUUUUAUGAAUUUCUUUAAUAAGAAAAUUGAACUCAUUAGAAAGGAGAUUAAAGACAACGCAUCCCAGCUACAACUGGGUUCUAUUAACACAAAUACGACUGUAUAUACGACGGACACUGCCCUCCAAAAUAGUCUCUCUAUUUUUGAUGAAAUAACAUUAGAGGAAUUAUUACAGCGUGUAAGUGGGAUAAAACAAACAACAUGUUUACUUGACCCACUUCCUGGGAAACUUAUCAAGGAACUGCUUGUAUUAUUAGGUCCAUCAGUGUUAAAUAUUAUAAACUUAUCACUUUCCUCCGGCACUGUUCCCCUAGCAUUCAAAAAAGCGGUUAUUCAUCCUCUGCUCAAAAGACCUAACCUCGAUCCUGACCUCAUGGUAAACUACCGACCGGUCUCCCACCUUCCGUUUAUUUCCAAAAUUCUCGAAAAAAUUGUUGCACAGCAGCUAAAUGAACACUUAGUGACUAACAAUCUCUGUGAACCUUUUCAAUCCGGUUUCAGGGCAAAUCACUCUACGGAGACAGCCCUCGCAAAAAUGACUAAUGAUCUAUUGCUAACGAUGGAUUCUGAUGCGUCAUCUAUGUUGCUGCUUCUUGAUCUUAGCGCCGCUUUCGAUACCGUCGAUCAUAAUAUUUUAUUCGAGCGUAUCAAAACACGUAUUGGUUUUUCAGACUUAGCCUUGUCUUGGUUUAACUCUUAUCUUACUGACAGGAUGCAGUGCGUCUCCCAUAACAAUGUGACCUCGGACUAUGUCAAGGUAACGUGCGGAGUUCCCCAGGGUUCGGUUCUUGGCCCUGCACUCUUUAGUAUUUACAUGCUGCCGCUGGGUGACAUCAUACGCAAGUACGGUGUUAGCUUUCACUGUUAUGCUGAUGACACUCAACUCUACAUGCCCCUAAAACUGACCAACACGCCGGACUGUAGUCAGCUGGAGGCGUGUCUUAAUGAAAUUAAACAAUGGAUGUCCGCUAACUUUUUGCAACUCAACGCUAAGAAAACAGAAAUGCUGAUUAUCGGUCCUGCUAGACACCAACAUCUAUUUAAUAAUACCACCUUAACAUUUGACAACCAAACAAUUAAACAAGGCGACUCGGUAAAGAAUCUGGGUAUUAUCUUCGACCCAACUCUCUCGUUUGAGUCAGACAUUAAGAGUGUUACUAAAACGGCCUUCUUUCAUCUCCGUAAUAUCGCUAAAAUUCGUUCCAUCUUGUCCACUAGCGACGCUGAGAUCAUUAUUCAUGCGUUCGUUACGUCUCGUCUCGAUUACUGUAACGUAUUAUUUUCGGGUCUCCCUAUGUCUAGCAUUAAAAGAUUACAGUUGGUACAAAAUGCGGCUGCAAGGCUUUUGACAAAAACAAGAAAGUUUGAUCAUAUUACGCCUAUACUGGCUCACCUGCACUGGCUUCCUGUGCACUUAAGAUGCGACUUUAAGGUUUUACUACUUACGUAUAAAAUACUACACGGUUUAGCUCCAGCCUAUCUCGCCGAUUGUAUUGUACCAUAUGUCCCGACAAGAAAUCUGCGUUCAAAGAACUCCGGCUUAUUAGUGAUUCCCAGAGCCAAAAAAAAGUCUGCGGGCUAUAGAGCGUUUUCUAUUCGGGCUCCAGUACUCUGGAAUGCCCUCCCGGUAACAGUUAGAGAUGCUACCUCAGUAGAAGCAUUUAAGUCCCAUCUUAAAACUCAUUUGUAUAAUCUAGCCUUUAAAUAGACCCCCCUUUUUUUAGACCAGUUGAUCUGCCGUUUCUUUUCUUCUCUCCUCUUCUCCCCUGUCCCUUGCGAGGGGGAGUUGCAUAGGUCCGGUGGCCAUGGAUGAAGUGCUGGCUGUCCAGAGUCGGGACCCCGGGUGGACCACUAGCCUGUGCAUCGGUUGGGGACAUCUCUGCGCUGCUGACCCGUCUCCGCUCGGGAUGGUUUCCUGUUGGCCCCGCUGUGGACUGGACUCCCGCUGAUGUGUUGGAUCCACUGUGGACUGGACUUUCACAAUGUUAUGUCAGACCCACUCGACAUCCAUUGCUUUCGGUCUCCCCUAGAGGGGGGGGGGUUACCCACAUAUGCGGUCCUCUCCAAGGUUUCUCAUAGUCAUUCACCGACGUCCCACUGGGGAGGCUGUCAAUGGAUCAGGACUGCGGCCAUUGUUUAUUCCUCGCACGUAGCUACCACGCUGGUCCCGAUUCUGUCACACAUCCUCUUCCAUGAGUUCCCCGUUGACGGCCCACGGGGCCCGCAGACGCCACGUGAAC
Entelurus aequoreus (snake pipefish) is the source of this 3462-nucleotide RNA transcript. It is a transcript of the gene named glucocorticoid modulatory element binding protein 1, with no coding region annotated. The transcript is spliced from 2 exons. The record is from RefSeq and is a predicted model, not a curated record. NCBI's taxonomy places the organism in Eukaryota, Metazoa, Chordata, Actinopteri, Syngnathiformes, Syngnathidae.